Molecule: ribosomal RNA, 328 nt
Filed under: Durinskia baltica
Lineage: Eukaryota; Dinophyceae; Peridiniales; Kryptoperidiniaceae
Description: partial Eukaryotic large subunit ribosomal RNA
Rfam family: Eukaryotic large subunit ribosomal RNA
Source: RNAcentral
AAAUUUGAAAUCUGGCGUCUUUGGCGUCCGAGUUGUAAUUUGCAGAGGGCGCUUUGGCAUUGGCAGCGGUCCAAGUUCCUUGGAACAGGACGUCACAGAGGGUGAGAAUCCCGUACGUGGUCGCUAGCCUUUACCGUGUAAAGCCCCUUCGACGAGUCGAGUUGUUUGGGAAUGCAGCUCUAAAUGGGAGGUAAAUUUCUUCUAAAGCUAAAUACUGGCCAGAGACCGAUAGCGCACAAGUAGAGUGAUCGAAAGAUGAAAAGCACUUUGGAAAGAGAGUUAAAAAGCACGUGAAAUUGUUGAAAGGGAAGCGCUUGCAGCCAGACUU